Schistocerca nitens (vagrant locust) is the source of this 2120-nucleotide RNA transcript. RefSeq lists it as uncharacterized. Lineage: Eukaryota; Metazoa; Arthropoda; Insecta; Orthoptera; Acrididae. The record is from RefSeq and is a predicted model, not a curated record. The transcript is spliced from 5 exons.
GCUCUUGAGUCAAUAAAGGUUGAAAUUCAGCUGAAUUGUUCAGAUUACCCUUUAGUCCUUGCAGACAGAAGCAGGUGUCCUGAUUACAACUUUUGCCACUAUUUGUUCAACAAAGUUUUUAAGAAAAAUUAUGGGCCAACAGACUUGAACAAAGAUGGAAAGCAGCUGUUACAACAGAGGUUAGAGGAAUACAACAGCGAAGUUGGAGCUGUGUGUGCCAAGAUGAUUCAGUAAGAUGAUGAUUAUAUAGUAUGGUAAGAGUAUAUUUACAAAUUUGUAGUCUGAUGAAAACUUUAUGCAUAUACAUUUAGCUACUAUUAAUAUUUGUAUAAUUGUUUUUCAGCAUUUGCUCACCACUGAUGCAAAAAGUCCAUACUCGUGUAAAAGCUGCUUCCAAACUUGUAUUUAUGGAUUCCACUGGUUCUCUGGAUCAUGACAGCAGCAGAGUGUUCGUUUUACUUACUCACAGUGAGUGUGGAGGUUUACCACUAGGAGUUCCGAUUAUGUCUUCAGAAAGCUGCGGAGUUAUAGAAAUGGGACUAGAGUUGCUGAAAGAGAUAGUGGGGGAAAAUAUUUUGGGGGAAACAUCAAUGGCCCAAGUGUGUUUCUGACUGACGACAGCCAUUCAGAACAAAAUGCAAUUAGAAGGUGCUUCCUAAACACAAAAGCUUUGUUGUGUAUAUUCCACGUCCUGCAGGCAGUGUGGCGCUGGCUUCUCAAAGCAAAAAAUGCUAUACCACAGCAAAAACAGUGAGAGUUCUUCCAGAAUUUCAAAAAAAUAAUGUUUGCGCAAACAAAAAAAAAAAAAGGAAGCAGUGGUAAAUUAUAAUGUAACAAGAGCGAACAUCGGUGAAAAUAAUCAAAAUUUAUUGAAAUACUUGGAAGGGUUUUGGGAUAGGAGAGGACUGUGGACCCUUUCACGUCGGCGAGGUAUGCUUGUAGAAGGGCACAACACAAAUAAUAUAACUGGGGCCUUCACGAGAAUUUUAAAGGACAGGAUUUUUGAGAGGGUGCGUACCUUCAAUGUGGUUCAGAUGGUGGACUUUUUUCUCACAAAGGUGAAUUUGUAUUUUCAGAGGAGACUUCUUGAUGCUGCUAAUGGAGCAAGUCCUUAGUCUUUCUGUAGGCCUACAAAGGCUCCUUCACAGGAGAUUCUAGCAAAAAUCAGACAAGUCAAUGAGGAUGUUCUGCUCGUUCCCAGUGAAGAAAGGGAGAAUCAUUAUUACAUUGUUAAUAUGGCUGUUCUUGUUUGCACUUGUUGCCAAGGCAAUACAGGGAAGAUCUGCAAACAUAUAGACUGGGGAGCUACAGGGAGGUGACGGAUAGUGACAGUGUACGUAGACUGUAUUAUUUUAUUGCUACAGAUGAGGAGCCUCCUCAAGGGUGGCUAGAGCCUCUGUAUUGCUCUCAGAAUGCAGGGGCUUCAAGUUCUUCGGAACGUUUGGAGCAAACGGACACAGGUUUGCUCUGUGAAAGCCAAGGAGAGAUGCCAGAGACACUUCACACGGAGACAGUUCCAGACAAUAGAAAUAAUGAUUUAAUCGACGAGAUAAAAGCUCGUCUCAUAGAUUUUUCAAAUAAAUCCCCUGAGGAAAUGAGGAAAGGCCUUGAAGUCAUGUGCGAAAAAUUGAGAAAGCUUGCAUCUUAUUUGGCAAAUUUUGGUGAAGGAAAAUCUAGAAAAAAUCGCGGUAACUAUAUUCCCGUUCAGUCCACUGCAAUAAGCAGAAGAAAAAACAAGUUGGCAGGUCGCAGAUGUCAUCCGGGGGGAAGACAAAGACCACACUCUAAGCAAAGCGAGGAAUUUGUAAAGACAGUAGAAAUUUCUGAAAUGGCUACCUUUCCACCACCAGCUACGCAGUCAUCCCAGUCAGCUUCAGACUUCUGAAGGUGCGCGACUGUUUACUGCAGCAUAGUGUGUAGGAUUUUCUUAAUCUGAGAUCCAACGUAAUGGAACUAUUAAGGGAAUGAUUGUACUCAGACCAAACUUACUAUUGAAAUAUAGAAGUUCUUCUUUAAAUUGGGAUAUCCCAACAAUGUGGAUACUUAUUGUGUAUGUUGCACAAGUUUCUGGGAAAUGUGAAUUAUCUUUUCUUAAAAUGUAAACUACAUUUUAUAUUCUG